AUACGUAGGGGGCGAGCGUUGUCCGGAAUUACUGGGCGUAAAGGGAGCGCAGGCGGUCUGCUAAGUGAGGUGUGAAAUACCCGGGCUUAACCUGGGGGGUGCAUUUCAAACUGGCGGACUUGAGUGUGGGAGAGGAAAGUGGAAUUCCUAGUGUAGCGGCGAAAUGCGUAGAUAUUAGGAGGAACACCAGUGGCGAAGGCGGCUUUCUGGACCACAACUGACGCUGAGGCUCGAAAGCGUGGGGAGCAAACAGGAUUAGAUACCCUGGUAAUCCACGCUGUAAACGAUGAAUACUAGGUGUAGGGGGUAUCAACUCCCUCUGUGCCGCAGCUAACGCAAUAAGUAUUCCGCCUGGGGAGUACGGUCGCAAGACUGAA
Molecule: ribosomal RNA, 377 nt
Filed under: uncultured bacterium
Lineage: Bacteria
Description: bacterial SSU rRNA
Rfam family: Bacterial small subunit ribosomal RNA
Source: RNAcentral